RNAcentral lists this ribosomal RNA (121 nucleotides) under Synechocystis aquatilis SAG 90.79. Its description in RNAcentral is "partial 16S ribosomal RNA". It matches the Rfam family "Bacterial small subunit ribosomal RNA", at positions 1414 to 1533 of the family's 1533-position model. Lineage: Bacteria; Bacillati; Cyanobacteriota; Cyanophyceae; Synechococcales; Merismopediaceae. The record is from RNAcentral.
GUCACGCCGAAGUCGUUACCUCAACCCUUGAGGGAGGGAGGCGCCGAAGGUGGGACUAGUGACUGGGGUGAAGUCGUAACAAGGUAGCCGUACCGGAAGGUGUGGCUGGAUCACCUCCUUU